Molecule: ribosomal RNA, 429 nt
Filed under: Verrucomicrobiota bacterium
Lineage: Bacteria; Pseudomonadati; Verrucomicrobiota
Description: Verrucomicrobia bacterium partial 16S ribosomal RNA
Rfam family: Bacterial small subunit ribosomal RNA
Source: RNAcentral
UAGGGAAUCUUCGGCAAUGGGGGGAACCCUGACCGAGCAACGCCGCGUGAGUGUAGAAGGUUUUCGGAUCGUAAAGCUCUGUUGUUAAGGAAGAACGAGUGUGAGAAUGGAAAGUUCAUGCUGUGACGGUACUUAACCAGAAAGGGACGGCUAACUACGUGCCAGCAGCCGCGGUAAUACGUAGGUCCCGAGCGUUGUCCGGAAUUAUUGGGCGUAAAGCGCGCGCAGGCGGUCACUUAAGUCCAUCGUAGAAGUGCGGGGCUUAACCCCGUGAUGGGAUGGAAACUGGGAGACUGGAGUAUCGGAGAGGAAAGUGGAAUUCCUAGUGUAGCGGUGAAAUGCGUAGAUAUUAGGAAGAACACCGGUGGCGAAGGCGACUUUCUGGACGAAAACUGACGCUGAGGCGCGAAAGCGUGGGGAGCAAACAGG